GAGCGUUUCGCUUUCACAGGCGUCGCUGUGCCUGAACAAUAAUCAACACAGCAGCGGCGUUACCUUUUCCCUGGUGUUGGCGCAGUCUUCGCGCACCCCGGUUUACCG
This 108-nucleotide small RNA is filed under the name Shimwellia blattae DSM 4481 = NBRC 105725. RNAcentral's name for it is "Escherichia blattae DSM 4481 ArcZ RNA". It matches the Rfam family "ArcZ RNA". Rfam says of the family: This RNA was discovered in E. coli during a large scale screen. SraH expression is highly abundant in stationary phase, but low levels could be detected in exponentially growing cells as well. ArcZ RNA function as an activator of the alternative sigma factor RpoS as a response of stress. The record is from Rfam by way of RNAcentral. Lineage: Bacteria; Pseudomonadati; Pseudomonadota; Gammaproteobacteria; Enterobacterales; Enterobacteriaceae.